Molecule: non-coding RNA, 147 nt
Filed under: Chlorocebus sabaeus (green monkey)
Lineage: Eukaryota; Metazoa; Chordata; Mammalia; Primates; Cercopithecidae
Source: Rfam by way of RNAcentral
GCUGGAUGUGGUGGUGCGCACCUGUAGUCCUAGCUACUUGGGAGGCUGACGUGGGAGGAUCGCUUGAGCCCAGGAGUUUGAGGCUGCAGUGAGUGUGAUGACGCCACUGCACUCUAGCCUGGGCAACAGUGUGAGACCCUGUCUCAA